GUUAGGAAUAUUCGUCAAUGGGGGAAACCCUGAACGAGCAAUGCCGCGUGAGUGAUGACGGUCCUUUGGAUUGUAAAACUCUGUUGUUAGGGAAGAACGACCUAUGUAGGAAAUGACAUAGGAGUGACGGUACCUUUCAAGAAAGCUCCGGCUAACUACGUGCCAGCAGCCGCGGUAAUACGUAGGGAGCGAGCGUUAUCCGGAUUUAUUGGGUGUAAAGCGUGUGUAGGCGGUUUAUUAAGUCUAAGGUUUAAGCCUGGAGCUCAACUCCAGUUCGCCUUAGAAACUGAUUUACUUGAGUGUGGUAGAGGCAAGUGGAAUUUCUAGUGUAGCGGUAAAAUGCGUAGAUAUUAGAAGGAACACCAGUGGCGAAGGCGACUUGCUGGGCCAUUACUGACGCUGAGACACGAAAGCGUGGGGAGCAAAUAGGA
Molecule: ribosomal RNA, 431 nt
Filed under: uncultured bacterium
Lineage: Bacteria
Description: bacterial SSU rRNA
Rfam family: Bacterial small subunit ribosomal RNA
Source: RNAcentral